UACGAAGGGGGCUAGCGUUGCUCGGAAUUACUGGGCGUAAAGCGCACGUAGGCGGAUUGUUAAGUCAGGGGUGAAAUCCUGGAGCUCAACUCCAGAACUGCCUUUGAUACUGGCGAUCUCGAGUGCGGGAGAGGUGAGUGGAACUGCGAGUGUAGAGGUGAAAUUCGUAGAUAUUCGCAAGAACACCAGUGGCGAAGGCGGCUCACUGGCCCGGUACUGACGCUGAGGUGCGAAAGCGUGGGGAGCAAACAGG
This 253-nucleotide ribosomal RNA is filed under the name uncultured bacterium. RNAcentral's name for it is "partial 16S ribosomal RNA". It matches the Rfam family "Bacterial small subunit ribosomal RNA", at positions 524 to 776 of the family's 1533-position model. The record is from RNAcentral.